This 737-nucleotide ribosomal RNA is filed under the name Paragyromitra xinjiangensis. RNAcentral describes it as "Gyromitra xinjiangensis partial large subunit ribosomal RNA". It matches the Rfam family "Eukaryotic large subunit ribosomal RNA", at positions 71 to 821 of the family's 3401-position model. Lineage: Eukaryota; Fungi; Ascomycota; Pezizomycetes; Pezizales; Discinaceae. The record is from RNAcentral.
GGGAUUGCCUCAGUAACGGCGAGUGAAGCGGCAACAGCUCAAAUUUUAAAGCUGGCGUCUUUGACGCCCGCGUUGUAAUUUGGAGAGGCAUCUUCGGUUUGGGCGCCAGCCUAUGUUCCUUGGAACAGGACGUCACAGAGGGUGAGAAUCCCGUGCUUGGCUGGCUGUCCCUUUCCAUGUGAAGUGCCUUCGACGAGUCGAGUUGUUUGGGAAUGCAGCUCAAAAUGGGUGGUAAAUUCCAUCUAAAGCUAAAUAUUGGCGGGAGACCGAUAGCGCACAAGUAGAGUGAUCGAAAGAUGAAAAGCACUUUGAAAAUAGAGUUAAAAAGUACGUGAAAUUGUUGAAAGGGAAGCGCUUGAGACCAGACUCGGCCGGAGAUGAUCAGCCGUCCUUCUGGGCGGUGCACUUGUCUCCGGUCGGGCCAGCAUCGGUUGAGACGGCGGGAUAAAGGCCCGGGGAAUGUGGCUCCUUUCGGGGAGUGUUAUAGCCCCGGGCGCAAUGCCGCCAGCCUCGACCGAGGACCGCGCUUUUUGCUAGGAUGCUGGCGUAAUGGUCUUCAGCGACCCGUCUUGAAACACGGACCAAGGAGUCUAACAUCUAUGCGAGUGUUUGGGUGUCAAACCCUUGCGCGUAAUGAAAGUGAACGGAGGUGGGAACCCCUUCGCGGGGCGCACCAUCGACCGGUCCUGAUGUCUUCGGAUGGAUCUGAGUAGGAGCAUAGCUGUUGGGACCCGAAA